RNAcentral lists this ribosomal RNA (275 nucleotides) under uncultured bacterium. RNAcentral's name for it is "partial 16S ribosomal RNA". It matches the Rfam family "Bacterial small subunit ribosomal RNA", at positions 338 to 610 of the family's 1533-position model. The record is from RNAcentral.
CCUACGGGGGGCUGCAGUGAGGAAUAUUGGUCAAUGGGCGGAAGCCUGAACCAGCCAUGCCGCGUGCGGGACGAAGGCGCUACGCGUCGUAAACCGCUUUUGUCCGGGGGUAACCGUGGGGACGCGUCCCCACCUGCAAGUACCGGACGAAUAAGGGUCGGCUAACUCCGUGCCAGCAGCCGCGGUAAUACGGAGGACCCGAGCGUUAUCCGGAUUCAUUGGGUUUAAAGGGUGCGCAGGCGGCCCGGUAAGUCAGCGGUGAAAGGCCCACGCUC